AGCCACUGAGCCAUCUCUCCAUCUCCCGAAGUCAGUCAAGCUAUCUCUCCAAGCUCUCAAAAUACAUAAAGUAUCCCCAAAAAGUAUCAUGGCAGAUUAAGACCAUGAACCAAGUGGGACUGUGGGAAAGUCAGGACAAAGUGCAAGAGUGUGACAGAGCAAAAAGCCACUUGAAAUUUCAGAUUAUUACAUUAUUGACUUAUUUUCAUCUUAAACUUUUUUAACAUUAAACAUAGCACCUUGUAUAUGGCUCCUUAGGCAGGCAGGCAAGAUCUCAGUGUGUAGCAGCCCAGGCUAGCCUGGAACUUGUCCUUAAUGUUGCAGCUCCAACCUCCCAAGUACUGAGGUUAUAGGUGUGAGCCACUACAUCUGGCCUUUUCUGUGUAUUUGUAAGAAAUGUUUUGGUUUUGUUUGU
RNAcentral lists this long non-coding RNA (415 nucleotides) under Rattus norvegicus (Norway rat). RNAcentral describes it as "long non-coding RNA NONRATT013391". Lineage: Eukaryota; Metazoa; Chordata; Mammalia; Rodentia; Muridae. The record is from RNAcentral.